Molecule: ribosomal RNA, 426 nt
Filed under: uncultured bacterium
Lineage: Bacteria
Description: partial 16S ribosomal RNA
Rfam family: Bacterial small subunit ribosomal RNA
Source: RNAcentral
GUGAGGAAUUUUCCGCAAUGGGCGAAAGCCUGACGGAGCAAUGCCGCGUGAAGGAUGAAGGCCUAUGGGUUGUAAACUUCUUUUCUCAGAAAAGAAUUAUGACGGUAUCUGAGGAAUAAGCAUCGGCUAACUCUGUGCCAGCAGCCGCGGUAAGACAGAGGAUGCAAGCGUUAUCCGGAAUGAUUGGGCGUAAAGCGUCAGUAGGUUGUUUAAAAAGUAUUCUGUCAAAGAUUAGGGCUUAACCCUAGAUAGGCAGAAUAAACUUUUAAGCUAGAGGUUGGUAGAGGCAGAGGGAAUUGCCGGUGGAGCGGUGAAAUGCGUAGAUAUCGGGAGGAACACCAAAGGCGAAGGCACUCUGCUGGGCCAAUACUAACACUGAGAGACGAAAGCGAGGGGAGCAAAUGGGAUUAGAAACCCGUGUAGUCC